AUUGAACGCUGGCGGCAUGCCUAACACAUGCAAGUCGAACGGUAACGCAAGAAGCUUGCUUCUUGGCGACGAGUGGCGGACGGGUGAGUAAUGCUUAGGAAUCUGCCCAAUAGUGGGGGACAACCCGAGGAAACUCGGGCUAAUACCGCAUACGCUCUACGGAGGAAAGUGGAGGAUCUUCGGACUUCACGCUAUUGGAUGAGCCUAAGUCGGAUUAGCUUGUUGGUGAGGUAAAAGCUCACCAAGGCGACGAUCCGUAGCUGGUCUGAGAGGACGAUCAGCCACACUGGGACUGAGACACGGCCCAGACUCCUACGGGAGGCAGCAGUGGGGAAUAUUGGACAAUGGGGGCAACCCUGAUCCAGCAAUGCCGCGUGUGUGAAGAAGGCCUGCGGGUUGUAAAGCACUUUCAGUAGAGAAGAAAAGCUUAGGGUUAAUACCCCUGAGUCUUGACGUAACCUACAGAAGAAGCACCGGCUAACUCCG
RNAcentral lists this ribosomal RNA (486 nucleotides) under uncultured Piscirickettsiaceae bacterium. RNAcentral's name for it is "bacterial SSU rRNA". It matches the Rfam family "Bacterial small subunit ribosomal RNA", at positions 30 to 505 of the family's 1533-position model. Lineage: Bacteria; Pseudomonadati; Pseudomonadota; Gammaproteobacteria; Thiotrichales; Piscirickettsiaceae. The record is from RNAcentral.